This 769-nucleotide long non-coding RNA is filed under the name Hordeum vulgare. RNAcentral's name for it is "long non-coding RNA (HVUL_LNC006486)". The record is from RNAcentral. Lineage: Eukaryota; Viridiplantae; Streptophyta; Magnoliopsida; Poales; Poaceae.
AAUAUAAUUGUAAGUUGACUUGUAUAAAUUUGGAAGAAAAAAAUUGAUUUAUAACGAAAUGUCGACCGCUUUAUUUUUUUUUAUACAGUAUACAUAGUCAAUGAACAUAUUUGGCGGUAUGUAAUUCUAAACCUUUGCACUAUGAUUUUAAAUUUUCCAUUUAUACCAAAAUUUGAAGUUUCUUACAAAAGGGGCAUGCUAAUCAUGUUUCUCUACCAUUUAUCUUACUUGAAUAAUCACGUGAGAACCUUACAACACAUUGAAUCCAUCAGUUCGAUUAGACAUAUCCCACACCAGAGGCGGGGAGUGCCAUAGGUGGCGACCAGCGGAGAGGCAAUGGGUGGACGGAGGGAGGGGGUCGGGUUAUGAGAGAGAAUGUGCGCUCUUGUUGGAGGAAGACGAAGAUGAUCCAACAUUUCACAGCUUGGCACAUUCCUUUGCAAAUUGAUUGAAAGUGAAAAACCUUUUAGUUGACUGAUGCAGGACCUCCACGGUUAAUCACUCACAUUCACCAUUGGAGGUUCAAAUCAAACUUCUUAAUGUGUGGUUCCUCCAAACGUAUGCACUUAUGUAUCCCUUUGCGAAACCCAUUGUCAUUUUUAAUUUAAUAUUUGAUUUAUUUUGCCUAGUGCCAAAAAUAAAACAUUUACCAACAUAGGGUCAAGCAAUAAAUCCAAAUCAAAAAAUAUAUAUUUAAAUAAAACACCUAAGACGGUAUUCCAAAGAUCUAACACUUGAUUUGUAGAUGAAUAUUUUGAGAAAUUGUCUG